RNAcentral lists this ribosomal RNA (253 nucleotides) under uncultured bacterium. Its description in RNAcentral is "partial 16S ribosomal RNA". It matches the Rfam family "Bacterial small subunit ribosomal RNA", at positions 524 to 776 of the family's 1533-position model. The record is from RNAcentral.
UACGUAGGGUGCAAGCGUUGUCCGGAAUUAUUGGGCGUAAAGAGCUCGUAGGCGGCUUGUCACGUCGACUGUGAAAACCCGGGGCUCAACUCCGGGCCUGCAGCCGAUACGGGCAGGCUAGAGUUCGGUAGGGGAGACUGGAAUUCCUGGUGUAGCGGUGAAAUGCGCAGAUAUCAGGAGGAACACCGGUGGCGAAGGCGGGUCUCUGGGCCGAUACUGACGCUGAGGAGCGAAAGCGUGGGGAGCGAACAGG